UACGGAGGGUGCAAGCGUUAAUCGGAAUCACUGGGCGUAAAGCGCACGUAGGCGGCUUUGUAAGUCAGCGGUGCAAGCCCUUCGCUCAACGAAGGAAUUGCCGUUGAUACUGCUUAGCUUGAGUUUGUGAGAGGAUAGUGGAAUUCCCGGUGUAGGAGUGAAAUCCGUAGAGAUCGGGAGGAACACCAGUGGCGAAGGCGACUAUCUGGCACAAUACUGACGCUGAGGUGCGAAAGCGUGGGGAUCAAACAGG
RNAcentral lists this ribosomal RNA (253 nucleotides) under uncultured bacterium. RNAcentral's name for it is "partial 16S ribosomal RNA". It matches the Rfam family "Bacterial small subunit ribosomal RNA", at positions 524 to 776 of the family's 1533-position model. The record is from RNAcentral.